Molecule: ribosomal RNA, 515 nt
Filed under: uncultured bacterium
Lineage: Bacteria
Description: partial 16S ribosomal RNA
Rfam family: Bacterial small subunit ribosomal RNA
Source: RNAcentral
GAUGAACGCUGGCGGCGUGCCUGAUACAUGCAAGUCGAGCGAAUGGAUUAAGAGCUUGCUCUUAUGAAGUUAGCGGCGGACGGGUGAGUAACACGUGGGUAACCUGCCCAUAAGACUGGGAUAACUCCGGGAAACCGGGGCUAAUACCGGAUAACAUUUUGAACCGCAUGGUUCGAAAUUGAAAGGCGGCUUCGGCUGCCACUUAUGGAUGGACCCGCGUCGCAUUAGCUAGUUGGUGGGGUAACGGCUCACCAAGGCAACGAUGCGUAGCCCGCCUGAGAGGGUAAUCGGCCCAGCUGGGACUGAGACACGGACCAGACUCCUACGGGAGGCAGCAGUAGGGAAUCUUCCGCAAUGGACGAAAGUCUGACGGAGCAACGCCGCGUGAGUGAUGAAGGCUUUCGGGUCGUAAAACUCUGUUGUUAGGGAAGAACAAGUGCUAGUUGAAUAAGCUGGCACCUUGACGGUACCUAACCAGAAAGCCACGGCUAACUACGUGCCAGCCGCCGCCGUAA